GCUAUGAGCUUCAGCUUUUUAUGAAGACGUCAUGGUGUGCUAUCUGUACUGAGAACCUUUCCCCAGCAUCAGCCAGCUCCUGAAGAUAACAUUGUCUGCUAGAGAUUGUCAUACUUCCCAUGGGAGGCACAGAGCUUGGAGAAAGAAGUGGUUUUCUGGUUGCUCUUCAGAGGAUGGAGAGGAGACCUGCCUGCAGUGAAGGUCGAUGCUGGUGGCAUUGAAGUUCUGGAGGUCAUAAGUCUGAGGUCAGUUUCCCUGGGCCAAGAUCAAGGUGUCGGCAGGGCUGCACUGGCUCCGGAGGCUAAGGGGAAGCAUCCAUUUCUUGCCUUUUCCGGCUUCUAGACCCACAUUCCUUGCAUUCCCUGGCGCUGUCCCCGUUCUCCAUCUUCAAAGCCAGCAGCGUGGCACCCAUUCUCUCUGACUGCACUUCCGCUGGCUGGCAUCUCACAGCUUUCUUCUCUUCUGUGUCAAAUCUCCUGCCACCUCUCUUAUAAGGACACUUGGAUUGCAAUUAGGUCCCAGCGAGAUUAUCCUGGAUCAUCUUCCCACUUCAAGAUCCCUAAUCACAUCUGCUAACUGUAUUCCACGAUGAAUGGUAACAUUCACACGUUCCGGGGAUCGGGAUGGGAUGCUUUUGCAGGCCAUUACUCAGCCUGCUGCAAGGUCUGAAGGCAGUGCUGUCAGAUUCCAUUGGCUAGUUUAUGACUCUGUGCACUGAGGCAGACUCGACAACUAGAUGCCUUUUUAUAAAAAUGUGGUAACAUGCACACAAAAUUUCCUAUUUUUAUUGUUUUUAGGUGUAAAUUCAGUGGCAUUAAGUGCUUUCACAUUGUCGUGUAACCAUCACCACCAUCCACCUCCACAACUUUCUCACCAUCUCAGACUGACACUCUGUACCGAUUAAACAACCAUUCUCCGUUCUCCCCUCCCCCAGCCGCUGGCAACCACCAUUCUACUUUCUGUUUCCAUGAAUUUGCCUAUUCUAGGUACCACAUAUAAGAGGAAUCAUAAUAUUUAGCCUCUUGUAGACACAUUUUUAAAAGAUUUUUUUGAACUUUGUUCCCUAGUCUUAGAAGUGUUCUUACCUGAGUGUAGGUGUUAAACCUAAAAUCUAUACGUAGAUCUAUACUACAAAUAUUCUCAAAUCAUUUCAUUUGUGACAUGCCUGUGGUUCAGGGCAACAUCUAAUGUAAAAGUUAGAUGCAACUGAAAAGAGCCACCAACAUUCCUGCCUAUUGGAAUUUCCAAGGAUAGGCAGGGUGU
This 1263-nucleotide long non-coding RNA is filed under the name Macaca mulatta (Rhesus monkey). RNAcentral describes it as "lncRNA (ENSMMUG00000063532.1)". The record is from RNAcentral. Lineage: Eukaryota; Metazoa; Chordata; Mammalia; Primates; Cercopithecidae.